AUGGCUCUNUGNNNNNNNNNNAUAAAGAGUUUGGCCUGCCCAGUGAAUAAUUUUAACGGCCGCGGUACUCUGACCGUGCGAAGGUAGCAUAAUCAUUUGUCUUAUAAUUGAAGUCUAGAAUGAAUGGCUUGACAAGAGUAAUGCUGUCUUUAACUUUCUAUUAUAAUUUUAUUACUAAGUUAAAAAGCUUAGAUACGAUUAAAAGACGAGAAGACCCUAUCGAGCUUCAGGAAAUUACUAAAAUUCUUAACAUUUAUGUAAAUAGAAUAUUUUAUAAAACUUUGGUUGGGGCGACCCGAGAACAAAAAAAGCUUCUCAUAAUAAUAUUUAUUGGUUGAUUUAGAUCCACUUGUUGUGAUAAAAAGAAUUAGUUACCGUAGGGAUAACAGCAUUAUCUUUUUUGAGAGCUCUAAUCGAAAAAAAGGUUUGUGACCUCGAUGUUGGACCAGCAUAACCUGAAGAUGUAGAAGUCUUUAAAGGUUGGUCUGUUCGACCAUUAAAAUGCUACGUGAUCUGAGUUCAGACCGGCGUGAGCCAGGUUGGUUUCUAUCUUUUAUUUUAAUAUUAAAUCUAGUACGAAAGGACCGGUUUAUUUUACUUAGUAUUUUUAAAGAAUUCAUUUAAUAAAUACAUAAUAUACUAGAAUAUAAUGGUGGCAGAAUUUAAUGCAUUAGAUUUAAGCUCUAAAGAUAAAGAUUAAUUGUCUUUCCUUUAUAUUAAAGAAUUGGUAUA
RNAcentral lists this ribosomal RNA (732 nucleotides) under Lamellaria latens. Its description in RNAcentral is "partial large subunit ribosomal RNA". The stretch from base 1 to 579 matches the Rfam family "Bacterial large subunit ribosomal RNA", at positions 1815 to 2925 of the family's 2925-position model. The record is from RNAcentral. Lineage: Eukaryota; Metazoa; Mollusca; Gastropoda; Littorinimorpha; Velutinidae.